Molecule: long non-coding RNA, 363 nt
Organism: Cyprinus carpio (common carp)
Lineage: Eukaryota; Metazoa; Chordata; Actinopteri; Cypriniformes; Cyprinidae
Exons: 2
Source: RefSeq, a predicted model, not a curated record
GAUUUUUUUAAAACUUACCGUGACGUCUGGAUUGGUCUAAGUAAUACUGAGGGAACAUGGAAAUGGGUUGAUGGCAGCACACUGUCCUCUAGCUUUUGGGCAUCUGAUGAGCCCCGUAAACAUACAAAUAAGGACUGUGCUGUGACUUCAAAGAAUCUUGGCAAAUCAGAGUGGUAUGACUAUCCUUGCAGUUCUGCUUUUAAAUGGAUUUGUGAAAGAAAACCAUCUUAAAAUAAAAUCUGUAAUAUGAUCACUAACAGGAAGCAGGUAAAAAUAUAAAUGUGUACUUGUAUCGCCUUUUUUGUAAGCUAAAGAUUGUUUCUUCAAAAAGUGCCAUUGUAAUAAAUCUUCUUUAUUAAAUCA